GACGAGGUGGCCGAGCGGUCUAAGGCGCUAGAUUCAGGGCUACCUCGAGUUUCAGGGAGAAACUUUUAGACCCGUAAGGGCGUGGGUUCAAAUCCCAUCCUCGUCA
This 106-nucleotide transfer RNA is filed under the name Pleodorina starrii. It matches the Rfam family "tRNA". From Rfam's summary of the family: Transfer RNA (tRNA) molecules are approximately 80 nucleotides in length. Their secondary structure includes four short double-helical elements and three loops (D, anti-codon, and T loops). Further hydrogen bonds mediate the characteristic L-shaped molecular structure. tRNAs have two regions of fundamental functional importance: the anti-codon, which is responsible for specific mRNA codon recognition, and the 3' end, to which the tRNAs corresponding amino acid is attached (by aminoacyl-tRNA synthetases). tRNAs cope with the degeneracy of the genetic code in two manners: having more than one tRNA (with a specific anti-codon) for a particular amino acid; and 'wobble' base-pairing, i.e. permitting non-standard base-pairing at the 3rd anti-codon position. Lineage: Eukaryota; Viridiplantae; Chlorophyta; Chlorophyceae; Chlamydomonadales; Volvocaceae. The record is from Rfam by way of RNAcentral.